AAUAGGCCCACGCGUCCGGCGGCGCCGCCGCCGUCGUCGGUGACGCGAACGGAUUCAGGCUGUUGUUGAGCGACGUGAAGGAGCCUGAGAAAGAUGAUGAGGAGUACAGAUGCAACUUUACCUGAUAGUCCGGGGCUGGCGGAACCCGCGGCCAUGUAGGGAGUCUUGCGAGGCGGUUCCUUCUUCCGCCACUUUGCCCGACGAUUUUGGAACCACACCUGAACGCGGGUUUCGGAGAGCGCGAGCUUCAACGCGAGUUCAUCGCGUGCGAAGACAUCCGGAUAAGGAGCCCGCUCGAACGCUCUCUCCAGUUCCUCCAAUUGAUAAGCCGUGAAAGUUGUUCUAAAGAAAUCAAGACCGUUUUUGUUGUAGAAGAGACUCGGCAGGGGGAACAACGAUUAUGGGGAAUAUGAUAAUUGAUAUAGGACUUUUGGAGUAAAGGUGCGAUAAUGCGGGUGACUGC
Long non-coding RNA from Camponotus floridanus (Florida carpenter ant), 463 nucleotides. RefSeq lists it as uncharacterized. The transcript is spliced from 3 exons. The record is from RefSeq and is a predicted model, not a curated record. Lineage: Eukaryota; Metazoa; Arthropoda; Insecta; Hymenoptera; Formicidae.